RNAcentral lists this long non-coding RNA (1412 nucleotides) under Piliocolobus tephrosceles (Ugandan red Colobus). Its description in RNAcentral is "lncRNA (ENSPTEG00000034255.1)". Lineage: Eukaryota; Metazoa; Chordata; Mammalia; Primates; Cercopithecidae. The record is from RNAcentral.
GUCUCUCCACCCCCUGCUGCUGCUGGGCUUGCGAUUGCCGCUCGCUCCAGCUGAGCUAAGAGUAGCAGCAGCACCAGGGCAGGGACUGACUCCAGCCCUUGGACUCAGGACAUCGCAGACCUUCCCUUGCGUGCGUGACUCAUUCGCACAUCAUUUCUGUUUAUGCCUGGGGUGGGGAGAAAAAUCCCAAACCAGGAAUUUAGGAAGCACAGAGCAGAUCAGUAAGAGACUCAAGGGUCCAGAGUUAUUGGAGAUGCUCACAACUAAAGUCACAGAUGGUUAUGCUUCAAAAAAGCAAGUGAAAUUGCCAAGACACUGGGUAAUGUAUGGGAUUUUCUCAAAAUUACUAAGUACCGCUGAGUUACUAAGGAUUAGAAUUACUAAAUAUACAAUUUCGAUACUAAGAAAUUGAAGUGGAGGUUGAGGGGCAAAAGUUAGGCACUAACCAUUAAUUGAGCAGCUCUGCUAUGCCCUUUGCAUUUAUAAUUUUAUUUGAUCCUCCCCACAAUCCUGUAAUGCAGGUGUUCUUAUCCUUGCUUUAUAAGUACAAAAACUGAGGCUCAAAGAGGUUGUGACUUGCUUAAGGUCACAGCUGGGAGGAGACUAAGCAGUGGUUUAAGUCUCCUUCCUCUACUUCGUGCACCUUCAAAACACUAGACUUUAUUUCUGGAGGAGCCACACCAGGGUACAGGGCACAGACGCCUCCCUUUCAUCUAUGGAGCCUAGGGAAUUCAUGAUAGUUAGGAGAGGCCAGCUUUUCAACUUUUCUGAUGCACUGAAGGACAGCUCCAAUUCCCAGUGUCUUCCCUCUGAGGUGGUAGAUCACCAGCUCCCAGGGAUAAAUGUUUUUUUACUAAAACAUUAAUAUAUUAAUACUGCCUUGCACCCCACUUUCUCUUCUCCCAGGCAAUGUGUGCAUGUUUGAUCUUGGCAGUUUGUCUUUUAGAAGUGGCUCAUAAAAAUCAUCUGAGAGAAUGCUGACUGACGUCAGCUAGGUUUGUAGUGGAUCCCCUCUCCCUUCCCAACAAAGGAAAACUUCAGCUCAUUUGCUCCAGAUUCUAUCUUUGCAGCUCUGAGAGACCUUGGUCACCUGGUUCUUAGAGGCCUUGAACUAUAAGAUUAUGACAGGAUCACAUGGAAGGCUCAGCACUUCUAAUCUUCUGCCUCAGGCUCCUCCUUCUCUCAAGGUCCCCUGUGGGCACAGUGUCUUGUCAGGGAAUAUUUUCCCAGCUGGAUUUGGAGGCAGGCCAGACAUCUCUCUCAGGCCCUUUAGCCCUUGCUGUUAAGUUCCCACACAUGGCUGCACACAACAUGGAAAACUAGCUUCCAACAUGGGUUGAUGAAUUACGGCAGUGGGGAAAAGUCUCCUCUAGCCAGGCCAUUUCUCUUCCCUGGUAUUCCAUAGUUUGGGC